UAAAAAUGAAAACAGAAUCAGGGAAUAAAUAUAAUUGGAAUUUCUGAGUUCAAAGGCAUCCACAAGGAUCAUCAAAGUCCAACUCCCAGCCCUGCACAGGACAGCCCCAAGUUUCACCACGUGCCAAUAAAUGAUGGGUCAACAAAGUGAUUGACCGCAGUAUAUAACAAGGCAGCAAAAUCAAUUGUACGAAGAUCUGGAGCUGGAGCUUUGCUGACUGUAUUCUGAUAACCAUGAAUGCACAGAAAACAUCACAGCUGGACUGUGCAAGGGUCAGUGCCCAGCUGAGCCAACAAAGAGCUCAUAUGAAGGAAAGGUCUUUCAAGGUGGGUACAUUGCACUCCUUGGCAGGGAAGUGCUGCUGGGUUUUGCAGCAGCCCAGUGCAGCUGACAGGUUUGAGCAAGCUGCAGAGCCAGUCCUGCACUGGCAUUGUGGGCAGGGUCUCAAGGGCUAUGGGGGAUGUGCCUUCAGCAGAUUGCUUGAGGGGCACAGGGAUACCCAAAAGACAGUGCCUGACAUGACUUAGGUCUCCCAGCAGUGUAGCUGCUCCAGGCUUCUUGGUGAUGCAGCUGUGCCUGAGGGUACAUACACAGCAGUCUUCCUUGAUAAUAAUAAUAAUGCAAUUUCAUCCUCUCACAUGAGCAUUUCUGGCAGGGCAGUGGAAAGAGGCCCACCACCCUUGAUGAUUUCAGUCACCAUCUCUCCAGUCAUCGUCUGCAGAGGAAUCUGGAUAGGCUGGAUCCAGAAGACCAAUGUACUUGCCCUUUCAAAGGAGAAAGAGAGCUCAAAUGACCACCAGCAAGAACAUCAUGAGUAUUUUGGGAAGAUUGCCCUUUAGAGAUGUGCAGACAGUGUGCCCACCUCCCAUUCACAGCACAAAAGGUCUCACUUCAAACGGUUUUGGGAGAAGAGGAGCCUCCAGUCACCCAACACCGAUGGAUGUCUCUGCUGAGUCACACGCGCCUGCCUCGCCAGCACGGCAGGAUUGGUGCUCUGCCAGGAUGAUACCGUGCCAAAACUCUGUCCUGUGUGCUGUAAGUGGCCGUUCAUCAAGUGCAACUGAUGACAUCCUGACAAAUGAGUCAGGUUUAUUUGAUAUUAGAAGAGAGUUUUUCAUUUGCAUGCUGUAA
This 1131-nucleotide long non-coding RNA is filed under the name Serinus canaria (Common canary). Its description in RNAcentral is "lncRNA (ENSSCAG00000000622.1)". Lineage: Eukaryota; Metazoa; Chordata; Aves; Passeriformes; Fringillidae. The record is from RNAcentral.